Molecule: ribosomal RNA, 440 nt
Filed under: uncultured bacterium
Lineage: Bacteria
Description: partial 16S ribosomal RNA
Rfam family: Bacterial small subunit ribosomal RNA
Source: RNAcentral
CCUACGGGUGGCAGCAGUGGGGGAUAUUGCACAAUGGGCGCAAGCCUGAUGCAGCGACGCCGCGUGAGCGAAGAAGUAAUUCGGUAUGUAAAGCUCUAUCAGCAGGGAAGAAAAUGACGGUACCUGACUAAGAAGCUCCGGCUAAAUACGUGCCAGCAGCCGCGGUAAUACGUAUGGAGCAAGCGUUAUCCGGAUUUACUGGGUGUAAAGGGAGCGUAGGCGGCGAUGUAAGUCUGGAGUGAAAGUCUGCGGCUGAACCCCAGACGUGCAUUGGAAACUGCUUGGCUUGAGUGCCGGAGAGGUAAUCGGAAUUCCUUGUGUAGCGGUGAAAUGCGUAGAUAUACGGAGGAACACCAGUGGCGAAGGCGGAUUGCUGGACAGUAACUGACGCUGAGGCGCGAAAGCGUGGGGAGCAAACAGGAUUAGAUACCCUUGUAGUC